This 87-nucleotide transfer RNA is filed under the name Gammaproteobacteria bacterium. RNAcentral describes it as "tRNA-Leu". It matches the Rfam family "tRNA". Rfam says of the family: Transfer RNA (tRNA) molecules are approximately 80 nucleotides in length. Their secondary structure includes four short double-helical elements and three loops (D, anti-codon, and T loops). Further hydrogen bonds mediate the characteristic L-shaped molecular structure. tRNAs have two regions of fundamental functional importance: the anti-codon, which is responsible for specific mRNA codon recognition, and the 3' end, to which the tRNAs corresponding amino acid is attached (by aminoacyl-tRNA synthetases). tRNAs cope with the degeneracy of the genetic code in two manners: having more than one tRNA (with a specific anti-codon) for a particular amino acid; and 'wobble' base-pairing, i.e. permitting non-standard base-pairing at the 3rd anti-codon position. The record is from RNAcentral. Lineage: Bacteria; Pseudomonadati; Pseudomonadota; Gammaproteobacteria. RNAcentral also lists the same sequence under 1 other name.
GCCGGGGUGGCGGAACUGGUAGACGCGCCAGACUCAAAAUCUGGUGGUGGCGACACCGUGUCGGUUCGAUUCCGACCCUCGGUACCA